GCACGGUGGUUCAAUGGGAAAAUUCUCACCUUCCAAGAGGGAGGCCUGGGUUCAAUUCCCAGCCAGUGCU
This 70-nucleotide transfer RNA is filed under the name Loxodonta africana (African savanna elephant). It matches the Rfam family "tRNA". From Rfam's summary of the family: Transfer RNA (tRNA) molecules are approximately 80 nucleotides in length. Their secondary structure includes four short double-helical elements and three loops (D, anti-codon, and T loops). The record is from Rfam by way of RNAcentral. Lineage: Eukaryota; Metazoa; Chordata; Mammalia; Proboscidea; Elephantidae.